Molecule: ribosomal RNA, 48 nt
Filed under: Pestalotiopsis microspora
Lineage: Eukaryota; Fungi; Ascomycota; Sordariomycetes; Amphisphaeriales; Sporocadaceae
Description: partial 28S ribosomal RNA
Source: RNAcentral
UUGACCUCGGAUCAGGUAGGGAUACCCCCUGAACUUACAUAUCAAUAA